CCUUAUUAGGCUAUUUAAAACACCACCACCCUCUCAUGGUUCCCUCCUGUGGCCAGCUUCUAACACCACCUGAAAUCAUCUGGUUCAUUCACUCAUGGGUUCAUUCCUGCACCCACCUCCAAUCCGAAGUCACAAGAACCUAAACUGAGAAAGACAGGGACCUUGUCGAUCUGAAGCCUAACACAGUGCACCAGCCAGGUCCCUCAGCUCCAUGUUUUUCAAAUGAUUUGUGGUGAAGGACCAGUCAUCUGUUCUCAAUUGAUGAUUCAUCGUACACCAAUACUUUCACAAUUUACCAUAAAAA
Molecule: long non-coding RNA, 304 nt
Organism: Sapajus apella (tufted capuchin)
Lineage: Eukaryota; Metazoa; Chordata; Mammalia; Primates; Cebidae
Exons: 3
Source: RefSeq, a predicted model, not a curated record